RNAcentral lists this unclassified non-coding RNA (210 nucleotides) under Hevea brasiliensis (rubber tree). The record is from RNAcentral. Lineage: Eukaryota; Viridiplantae; Streptophyta; Magnoliopsida; Malpighiales; Euphorbiaceae.
UGUCACAGGUCAAGACUUUCAGCUUGCCUAGUGCGGCACUUGCUCGGCAGAUUUCCCCAACACCGAAAACAAGUAAGCCUAUUCCAGCAAAGAACUCAAGCACACCCACACUCACACUUGGAAUGCACAAGAGAGAUUGAUUGGGCCAAAGAGAACUCUAUUAUGUACAAUUGCAAAGUGUGUACAAAGAGAAGUAUACAAGAACUCUUU